RNAcentral lists this ribosomal RNA (599 nucleotides) under uncultured bacterium. Its description in RNAcentral is "bacterial SSU rRNA". It matches the Rfam family "Bacterial small subunit ribosomal RNA", at positions 8 to 596 of the family's 1533-position model. The record is from RNAcentral.
AGAGUUUGAUCAUGGCUCAGAUUGAACGCUGGCGGCAGGCCUAACACAUGCAAGUCGAACGGUAACAGAAAGCAGCUUGCUGCUUUGCUGACGAGUGGCGGACGGGUGAGUAAUGUCUGGGAAACUGCCUGAUGGAGGGGGAUAACUACUGGAAACGGUAGCUAAUACCGCAUAACGUCGCAAGACCAAAGAGGGGGACCUUCGGGCCUCUUGCCAUCGGAUGUGCCCAGAUGGGAUUAGCUAGUAGGUGGGGUAAAGGCUCACCUAGGCGACGAUCCCUAGCUGGUCUGAGAGGAUGACCAGCCACACUGGAACUGAGACACGGUCCAGACUCCUACGGGAGGCAGCAGUGGGGAAUAUUGCACAAUGGGCGCAAGCCUGAUGCAGCCAUGCCGCGUGUAUGAAGAAGGCCUUCGGGUUGUAAAGUACUUUCAGCGGGGAGGAAGGGAGUAAAGUUAAUACCUUUGCUCAUUGACGUUACCCGCAGAAGAAGCACCGGCUAACUCCGUGCCAGCAGCCGCGGUAAUACGGAGGGUGCAUGCGUUAAUCGGAAUUACUGGGCGUAAAGCGCACGCACGCGGUUUGUUAAGUCAAAUGUA